RNAcentral lists this ribosomal RNA (301 nucleotides) under uncultured bacterium. RNAcentral's name for it is "partial 16S ribosomal RNA". It matches the Rfam family "Bacterial small subunit ribosomal RNA", at positions 509 to 807 of the family's 1533-position model. The record is from RNAcentral.
CAGCCGCCACGGUAACACGGAGGGUGCAAGCGUUAUCCGGAUUUAUUGGGUUUAAAGGGUCCGUAGGCGGACUUAUAAGUCAGUGGUGAAAGCCUGUCGCUUAACGAUAGAACUGCCAUUGAUACUGUAAGUCUUGAGUAUAUUUGAGGUAGCUGGAAUAAGUAGUGUAGCGGUGAAAUGCAUAGAUAUUACUUAGAACACCAAUUGCGAAGGCAGGUUACCAAGAUAUAACUGACGCUGAGGGACGAAAGCGUGGGUAGCGAACAGGAUUAGAUACCCGGGUAGUCCCUGUCUCUUAUAC